AGUCAACAUAACCAAAGGACGUGGAUAAACUCGGGAAACUGAGGCUAAACCGCGAUAGAUCAAGAUACCUGGAAUGGUUUUUGAUCAAAAUCUAUAUGGCCUUUGGAUUGGACUGCGUCCGAUCAGGCUGUUGGUGAGGUAAUGGCCCACCAAACCUAUAACCGGUACGGGCUCUGAGAGGAGGAGCCCGGAGAUGGGUACUGAGAUAAGGACCCAGGCCCUAUGGGGCGCAGCAGGCGCGAAACCUCUGCAAUAGGCGAAAGCUUGACAGGGUUACUCUGAGUGACUUUCGUUAAGAAAGUCUUUUGACACCUCUAAAAAUGGUGUAGAAUAAGGGGUGGGCAAGUCUGGUGUCAGCCGCCGCGGUAAUACCAGCACCCCGAGUGGUCGGGACGAUUAUUGGGCCUAAAGCAUCCGUAGCUGGCCUUACAAGUCCUCCGUUAAAUCCAGCUGCUUAACGGAUGGGCUGCGGAGGAUACUAUAAGACUAGGAGGCAGGAGAGGCAAGCGGUACUCAGUGGGUAGGGGUAAAAUCCGUUGAUCCAUUGAAGACCACCAGUGGCGAAGGCGGCUUGCCAGAAUGCGCUCGACGGUGAGGGAUGAAAGCUGGGGGAGCAAAUCUGAUUAUAUACCCGGGUAGUCCCUUCUCUUAACGAUGCUUACUCAGGUGAUGGACUAAGUUUUAUGCUAGGUCCAG
Molecule: ribosomal RNA, 696 nt
Filed under: uncultured archaeon
Lineage: Archaea
Description: bacterial SSU rRNA
Rfam family: Archaeal small subunit ribosomal RNA
Source: RNAcentral